This 453-nucleotide ribosomal RNA is filed under the name uncultured bacterium. RNAcentral describes it as "bacterial SSU rRNA". It matches the Rfam family "Bacterial small subunit ribosomal RNA", at positions 340 to 786 of the family's 1533-position model. The record is from RNAcentral.
UACGGGAGGCAGCAGUGGGGAAUAUUGCACAAUGGGCGCAAGCCUGAUGCAGCCAUGCCGCGUGUAUGAAGAAGGCCUUCGGGUUGUAAAGUACUUUCAGUCGUGAGGAAGGUGUUAAGGUUAAUAACCUUAGCAAUUGACGUUAGCGACAGAAGAAGCACCGGCUAACUCCGUGCCAGCAGCCGCGGUAAUACGGAGGGUGCGAGCGUUAAUCGGAAUUACUGGGCGUAAAGGGCACGCAGGCGGUUAAUUAAGUUGGAUGUGAAAUCCCCGGGCUUAACCUGGGAAUGGCAUUCAAAACUGGUUAGCUAGAGUCUUGUAGAGGGGGUAGAAUUCCAUGUGUAGCGGUGAAAUGCGUAGAGAUGUGGAGGAAUACCGGUGGCGAAGGCGGCCCCUGGACAAAGACUGACGCUCAUGUGCGAAAGCGUGGGGAGCAAACAGGGAUUAGAUACC